RNAcentral lists this unclassified non-coding RNA (253 nucleotides) under Alphaproteobacteria bacterium. RNAcentral's name for it is "contains 16S-23S intergenic spacer region". It matches the Rfam family "Bacterial small subunit ribosomal RNA", at positions 524 to 776 of the family's 1533-position model. The record is from RNAcentral. Lineage: Bacteria; Pseudomonadati; Pseudomonadota; Alphaproteobacteria.
UACGUAGGUGGCAAGCGUUGUUCGGAAUUACUGGGCAUAAAGCGCGCGUAGGCGGAUUGUUAAGUCAGGGGUGAAAUCCCGAGGCUCAACCUCGGAACUGCCUUUGAUACUGGCGAUCUUGGGUCCGGGAGAGGUGAGUGGAAUUCCUAGUGUAGAGGUGAAAUUCGUAGAUAUUAGGAAGAACACCAGUGGCGAAGGCGGCUCACUGGCCCGGUACUGACGCUGAGGCGCGAAAGCGUGGGGAGCAAACAGG